Molecule: long non-coding RNA, 623 nt
Organism: Quercus robur (English oak)
Lineage: Eukaryota; Viridiplantae; Streptophyta; Magnoliopsida; Fagales; Fagaceae
Exons: 2
Source: RefSeq, a predicted model, not a curated record
UAUCCAAGUUGUUGGGUCUUGUUAAAUCCACCCAAAUAAAUAGCCCAAAAAUAUGAAGACCCUUAUAGACAGCCCAAAGUUUCAUUUCAUCAUUAGCGUCUCUCUCUCUGAUCAUCAGUAGGUGGAGAAAUGGAGAUGGAGCAAACGGAGAAGGAGGCGAUAAGAGCGGCUUCAGCUGAGGUUUCUCGUGAAUUCAAAACCCUUAUCAAUGCUGACGAUUUGGACUCCCUCAAGCAAUCGCAGCACCUUAUGAGCAUGAAAUCAAGGAUUUUGGCUACCUAUCCGGAUGCAUUUCCAGAUGAUUUAACAGGAGAAGUAGUUGACAGGAGACUGGACCUUGAAAUUCCUCUGUAACAUUAGUCAGUCUGUUCCCAAAUUGCAGCAUGUAUCUUGGUACCAACGUGGGUUUGAGAGCUUGAGGAAUGAAUCGUAAAAUCAGUUCAUUGAAUGAUUAUUGGGAUUGCUUGAUUAUUUUUCGGUGGAAGUACUUUCUAAGAUGAAUGAACAUAUAAAAGAAAGUUUACCAUCAGAGAUGAAUGAAAUGGAAACCCAAUCUGUCCAACUCUAGAAUGAUGCUUUUGUUUUUUGGUGAAAUCUUUUGUUCUCAUAUUGUUUUGAAGCAA